This 465-nucleotide ribosomal RNA is filed under the name uncultured bacterium. RNAcentral describes it as "partial 16S ribosomal RNA". It matches the Rfam family "Bacterial small subunit ribosomal RNA", at positions 28 to 507 of the family's 1533-position model. The record is from RNAcentral.
GACGAACGCUGGCGGCGUGCUUAACACAUGCAAGUCGGACGGAAAGGCCCCUUUGGGGGUACUCGAGUGGCGAACGGGUGAGUAACACGUGAGUAACCUGCCCUUGACUUCGGGAUAACUUCAGGAAACUGGGGCUAAUACCGGAUAGGAAUCCUUGCUGCAUGGUGGGGGUUGGAAAGCUUCGGCGGUUUUGGAUGGACUCGCGGCUUAUCAGCUUGUUGGUGGGGUAGUGGCUUACCAAGGCUUUGACGGGUAGCCGGCCUGAGAGGGCGACCGGCCACAUUGGGACUGAGAUACGGCCCAGACUCCUACGGUAGGCAGCAGUGGGGAAUAUUGCACAAUGGGCGGAAGCCUGAUGCAGCAACGCCGCGUGCGGGAUGACGGCCUUCGGGUUGGAAACCGCUUUCAGCAGGGGCGAAGCUUGUGGUGACGGUACCUGCAGAAGAAGCACCGGCUAACUACGUG